UACCCGCAGCUCAAGUGGUGGUCAUUAUUAUUGGGCCUAAAGCGUCCGUAGCUGGCCUAUUAGAUGCCUGGGUAAAUCGAUGCGCUCAACGUAUCGACUUCCGGGUAGACCGGCAGGCUCGAGACCGGGAGAGGUGUAGGCUACUCGAGGGGUAGGGGUAAAAUCCUGUAAUCCUUCGGGGAGGACCAGUGGCGAAGGCGCUACACUAGAACGGCUCUGACAGUGAGGGACGAAGCCCUGGGGCGCAAACCGG
This 253-nucleotide ribosomal RNA is filed under the name uncultured bacterium. RNAcentral's name for it is "partial 16S ribosomal RNA". It matches the Rfam family "Archaeal small subunit ribosomal RNA", at positions 474 to 727 of the family's 1478-position model. The record is from RNAcentral.